CAGCAGCCACGGGAAUACGGAGGGUGCAAGCGUUAAUCGGAAUUACUGGGCGUAAAGCGCACGCAGGCGGUUUGUUAAGUCAGAUGUGAAAUCCCCGAGCUUAACUUGGGAACUGCAUUUGAAACUGGCAAGCUAGAGUCUUGUAGAGGGGGGUAGAAUUCCAGGUGUAGCGGUGAAAUGCGUAGAGAUCUGGAGGAAUACCGGUGGCGAAGGCGGCCCCCUGGACAAAGACUGACGCUCAGGUGCGAAAGCGUGGGGAGCAAACAGGAUUAGAUACCCCGGUAGUCCCUGUCUCUUAUAC
This 301-nucleotide ribosomal RNA is filed under the name uncultured bacterium. Its description in RNAcentral is "partial 16S ribosomal RNA". It matches the Rfam family "Bacterial small subunit ribosomal RNA", at positions 509 to 807 of the family's 1533-position model. The record is from RNAcentral.